RNAcentral lists this long non-coding RNA (661 nucleotides) under Homo sapiens (human). RNAcentral's name for it is "non-protein coding lnc-NME4-1:5". Lineage: Eukaryota; Metazoa; Chordata; Mammalia; Primates; Hominidae. The record is from RNAcentral.
AAAGGGUCAUUUUCCCAGCCUGGGCAACAUGGUGAAACCCAGUCUCUACAAAAAAAAAAAAACCAAAAAAAAAAAAAAAAAAAAUUGGCCUUUUCACAAGAUGGCGCUGAAAGCAAAGAAGGAAGCUCCUGCCUCUCCUGAAGCCGAAGCCAAAGCGAAGGCUUUAAAGGCCAAGAAGGCAGCGUUGAAAGGUGUCCACAGCCACAUAAAAAAGAAGACCCGCACGUCACUCACCUUCCAGCGGCCCAAGACACUGCGACGCCGGAGGCGGCCUGAAUAUCCUUGGAAGAGCACCCCCAGGAGAAACAAGCUUGGCCACUAUGCUGUCAUCAAGUUUCCGCUGACCACGGAGUCGGCCGUGAAGAGGACAGAAGAAAACAACACGCUUUUGUUCACUGUGGAUGUUAAAGCCAACAAGCACCAGAUCAAACAGGCUGUGAAGAAGCUCUAUGACGGUGAUGUGGCCGAGGUCACCACCCUGAUUCCGCCUGAUGGAGAGAAGAAGGCAUGUGUUCGACUGGCUCCUGAUUACGAUGCGUUGGAUGUUGCCAACAAAAUUGGGAUCAUCUAAACUGAGUCCAGCUGCCUAAUUCUAAAUAUAUAUAUAUAUAUAUCUUGUCACCAUAAAAAAAAAAAUUGUAGCCAAGCAUGGUGGCAUGUG